CAACAAUCCUUCGGGUGCGUUGGUGGGCGGCGAGCGGCGGACGGGUGAGUAAUGCCUGGGAAUAUGCCCUGAUGUGGGGGAUAACUAUUGGAAACGAUAGCUAAUACCGCAUAAUCUCUUCGGAGCAAAGAGGGGGACCUUCGGGCCUCUCGCGUCAGGAUUAGCCCAGGUGGGAUUAGCUAGUUGGUGGGGUAACGGCUCACCAAGGCGACGAUCCCUAGCUGGUCUGAGAGGAUGAUCAGCCACACUGGAACUGAGACACGGUCCAGACUCCUACGGGAGGCAGCAGUGGGGAAUAUUGCACAAUGGGGGAAACCCUGAUGCAGCCAUGCCGCGUGUGUGAAGAAGGCCUUCGGGUUGUAAAGCACUUUCAGUCGUGAGGAAGGGGUAGUCAUUAAUAGUGGUUAUCUUUGACGUUAGCGACAGAAGAAGCACCGGCUAACUCCGUGCCAGCAGCCGCGGUAAUACGGAGGGUGCGAGCGUUAAUCGGAAUUACUGGGCGUAAAGCGCAUGCAGGCGGCUUGUUAAGCCAGAUGUGAAAGCCCGGGGCUCAACCUCGGAAUAGCAUUUGGAACUGGCAGGCUAGAGUCUUGUAGAGGGGGGUAGAAUUUCAGGUGUAGCGGUGAAAUGCGUAGAGAUCUGAAGGAAUACCGGUGGCGAAGGCGGCCCCCUGGACAAAGACUGACGCUCAGAUGCGAAAGCGUGGGGAGCAAACAGGAUUAGAUACCCUGGUAGUCCACGCCGUAAACGAUGUCUACUUGGAGGCUGUGACCUAGAGUCGUGGCUUUCGGAGCUAACGCGUUAAGUAGACCGCCUGGGGAGUACGGUCGCAAGAUUAAAACUCAAAUGAAUUGACGGGGGCCCGCACAAGCGGUGGAGCAUGUGGUUUAAUUCGAUGCAACGCGAAGAACCUUACCUACUCUUGACAUCCA
This 932-nucleotide ribosomal RNA is filed under the name Photobacterium sanctipauli. RNAcentral's name for it is "bacterial SSU rRNA". It matches the Rfam family "Bacterial small subunit ribosomal RNA", at positions 70 to 990 of the family's 1533-position model. The record is from RNAcentral. Lineage: Bacteria; Pseudomonadati; Pseudomonadota; Gammaproteobacteria; Vibrionales; Vibrionaceae.